UACGUAGGGUGCAAGCGUUGUCCGGAAUUAUUGGGCGUAAAGAGCGUGUAGGCGGCCAUUCAGGUCAGCUGUGAAAACUCGAGGCUCAACCUCGAGACGUCGGUUGAAACCGUUUGGCUAGAGUCCGGAAGAGGAGAGUGGAAUUCCCGGUGUAGAGGUGAAAUUCGUAGAUAUCGGGAGGAACACCAGUGGCGAAGGCGGCGACCUGGGCCAAUAUUGACGCUGAGGUGCGAAAGCGUGGGGAGCAAACAGG
RNAcentral lists this ribosomal RNA (253 nucleotides) under uncultured bacterium. RNAcentral describes it as "partial 16S ribosomal RNA". It matches the Rfam family "Bacterial small subunit ribosomal RNA", at positions 524 to 776 of the family's 1533-position model. The record is from RNAcentral.